UACAGAGGGUGCAAGCGUUGUUCGGAUUCAUUGGGCGUAAAGGGUGUGUAGGUGGCGCGCUAAGUCGGGUGUGAAAUCUCGGGGCUUAACUCCGAAACUGCAUUCGAUACUGCCGUGCUUGAGGACUGGAGAGGAGACUGGAAUUUACGGUGUAGCGGUGAAAUGCGUAGAUAUCGUAAGGAAGACCAGUGGCGAAGGCGGGUCUCUGGACAGUUCCUGACGCUGAGGCACGAAGGCCAGGGGAGCAAACGGG
Molecule: ribosomal RNA, 253 nt
Filed under: uncultured bacterium
Lineage: Bacteria
Description: partial 16S ribosomal RNA
Rfam family: Bacterial small subunit ribosomal RNA
Source: RNAcentral